RNAcentral lists this long non-coding RNA (34645 nucleotides) under Prunus persica (peach). Its description in RNAcentral is "long non-coding RNA (PPER_LNC008406)". The record is from RNAcentral. Lineage: Eukaryota; Viridiplantae; Streptophyta; Magnoliopsida; Rosales; Rosaceae.
UUUCGGUCGCUGGUUUUUUCUUCAAUUUGGUUGGUUAGUUGUCACGUAUCAUCUCAUCUUCACUCAUUCUUUGAUUUUUGUUGGUUGUUUAAUGUUAUGUAAGUUCACUGCUCAAUUUGGUUGGUUUCAUCUCAUUUAGUUUCUGCUUAAGUUCACUGUUCAAAGAAACAAUCAUCCUCUGUAUAAGAACGUUUCUCACCUAUACGUUACUCUGUUCAAUCUGUGCUUUAUGACAUACAUUAGUAUUAAACUAUUAAUAAAGCGGUUCCUUGAUAGGAUGUGUACUGUAGACCUUUCCCAAUAGUUUCUUAAUUUUUAGAAUUUUUAGAAUGCAAUAAUCGUAGCUGUAACUUCACAGGUUGCUGCGAGUGUAAUCACUGCCCAUGUGAUGGUGAACUUAGCAAAUGGUGAUGCAGGAAGUGUGUCUGUGUCAUUACUUGAGAAGUCCAGCAUCCUGUCAAAUAAGGUUUGAUCCUUUCUUGAUUGUAUUACUUAAUUCGUAACUAAAUAUGAUUGUAUGCUGAUAAACCCAUUAAGAGCUCAGUUUAAUUUCUAAUUUCAUCAAUUCUCUAAUUUAAUACUUUCCUUAUAGUAUUGAGAUUGUAAAGUUUGCAUCAUAUCUGAUUGUUAUCUUUUUUCUUUCCCUUCAUUGGCAGUUCAGAAGUCUUCCUGCUUUUUCUGAAUUGUUAGCUCAAUACUCACAGCAUGGUUACAGGUAAUAUGUGUGUUAUUGUUAAUUUCUGUUGGAAUUUCUAUGUUUAACUGUGCACUUCUUGUGCGAAGCAUUUGUAUGUCUGGAAACUGAUAUUAUACCCUUCCCUGAAGAUUCUGGAUUUUUACAAGUGCUCCUUCCAGUAAAUGUAUUCUUAUAGUGAGAAAACAGUUCUUCCUAUGAUAUGAUUGAUAUGUGAAACUUUAGUUUCGAGUCCUGGAAGUUACCAGAGUAUAAAGUAAGGAUUUAAAUACAGAACCUUGGAAGAGGUAUCUGAUGCUUUGGUCAAGCAGUACUCUUGUCUCUUGCCUGUGUUCAUAUUCCCUGUAUGUCGGUUGACUACUGAUUACCAGUCCAUUUUCUGGUUUCAAGAGUCAUGUUUGGCUCUUUUUGUGUGUGUGUGGUCACCUCCGUCCAUGUGCAUGUAAGUUGUAACAGUGAUUCUUCAUGUUGUUAUCACCUUAUAUGAUGGGCAUCCCCCAUGACGUGCUGUUGCUUGCCUUAUUUCCAUUGACCUUGAAGUUGAUCUGUUUUCUAGCCUUUGACAGACCAUCUAAGUGGUGACAUGUAACCAUUAGUUUGGGUGGAUUCAAUUUGCAUAGGGUUUAACAGAUAAUUUGAUCUGUAGUUUAUUCUGUUUCACAUAUUGAUCUUUUAAUUACAUAUGUUAUCUCUCAUAUGAAUUUGUUGAGAGUUUUAUCCCACAUCGGGAAAUGGAAGCAAUAAAUGACACAUGUUGUGCAUUUGGCUGCAUAUGAAGAAUUUAUUAUCUUUUUCCAGUGCAGGGAAGGAGCCAAACUAUUUGAUUCUCAGUGAUCUUUAUUAUCAUCUACAAGGAGAGCUUGAAGGCCGUGAAGUCAGUGCUGGACCAUUCAAAGAACUCUCUCUGUUCCUUAUAGAAUCAAAUGUUUUUCAGAUUUACCAACAUAAAUAUGAUGCUGAUCUUUUUGUAACCGGAAAAGAUGCAUACUUGUUUGAUCUUAAACGUGUACGAGCUGAUUUGGGGUUAGAUCUUUGGGAUUAUUCAAAGUGGAAGGCAUCAAAGGCGACUGCAGAAACAAUGUUGAAUCACAUGAAGGCUGCAAACUCAAUGGCGUUGCUUACAAGUUCAAAGCUUUCUGCACUAAGAGCAUUAAGAAGUGUCUUGACUGUGUACGCGGAUGAUGUGAGUUCUCUCUUAGACUUUGUAAUUGCUUUAAGUUGCGUUUUCAUAGUUAGAAAUUCGAUAUCUGUAGCUGCUUUUUAUGGUUCAAGAUAUUUUAAGGAUCAUGUAGAUGUAUAUAAUGGUUUAAAAUACUUUAAAUUUAAUGUUAGUUAUAAAAAAAAAAAAGUUGAUGUCUAAUAUUUCAAAUAUCUGAUUUCUCAUUUCAAAGUUUUUGAAAGUUAAGCAGUAUUAGUGAUAGCUCAGUUGAUGAACACUGUGCUGCACCUAUGCCAUGUCUAAUUAGGGUGCCGAAGAAUGAAGUAAAAACACUAGGACCUAGAGCUAGAGGUUCAACCCUCAUGAUAUAUCAAGUUUCCUAUUGUCAAAACCGGGUAUGAAUGGUAAAAGCAUUUAAUUGUACCUGAGGAAUACUGAUUUUAUUUUGAAAUACUCCGGUAACUUCUAUCCAUUUUCUAAUGAGUGACGAAGUCAUUGCAUUCCAUCUAAUCAAGAAUACGAUACGAAAAACUGAGUUGUUGAGAUUUUUACAUAUAGUGAAGGCCCCAAUAUUGUGUUGGAAGAAAUCACAUGAUCUAAGCAUCCUGCUUUCAGCAGUGGGCAUCUAAAUGCUGAUUAGUGUGGUUUGUGGGCUGUUGUAUGGCUUUAUUUAUCAUGGUUUUUUUUUUUUCUUGCUUUAGAAAAUGCCUUAUUCUUUUUUGAAAUUAAUUCACGUGUACCUGCUACUGCAGUCACUGGAGACGAAAAGUACAGCGAAAGAGAUCUCUGAUCAACUUGUUUUCUCAUGCAUCAAUCACAUAUGCCAGAGCUUCCAUGACACAGUAGAAUCAUUGGCUUCAUUACCUGGUGCUCCUGAAGAUAUCUUUCACUACCUUUCAGCUCAAGCAGAGUUGCUUCUCUAUCUUAUGAUGUAUGCACAUAAAAGCCUGCCUUUGUCUGUUUGCAUUCUUGUACUAAAAACAUCAGGUUCUGGCCUUAAAGUGUUGAGUGAUUUCAGAGCAUUAGUUACCGGGCCAGCAGUUAUGGGGGUUAACACUACCGUAAAGCUCUUGCUUAUGUUGCUUCUCUCGGCGGUGGAGUUUAGUUGUCGUAAGUCACAUUUGGUUGGGGCAAGAGAUAUAAUAUCUGUUGAAGAACUGGCUAAAAUAUCUAACGUGAGUCUUGGUCUACUACCAAUUCUCUGUAACUGUAUGGCUAUUGUUGAGCAUGGCACCCUCUCCCUAACUACUAUGGACUUGAUACUGAGAAAUUUCUUAACUCCCAACACUUGGUUCCCCAUUAUACAAAAUCACCUCCAGCUUCAGCAUCUUAUUCUGAAGCUUCAAGAUAAGAACUCACUUGACUCUGUGCCCAUUAUAAUUAAGUUCUUUUUGACUGUUGCCCGUGUGAGGCAGGGUGCAGAAAUGCUUAUUAAUUAUGGGUUUCUUUCGUCUCUGAGACUCUUGUUCGCUGAGUACUUGGAAGGUAGGUCUUCUUCCGUUAGUACUAAUAAGAGAAAUCCCAACUCAACUGAAAAAACUGAGAAGCCUCAGCAAAUUUGGGGACUUGGUUUGGCAGUCAUCACAGCUAUGGUUCAGUCUUUAGGAGACAGUUCUGCUUGUUCUGAUGUUGUGGAGAAUGUAAUACCCUACAUCUUUUCAGAGAAAGCCUAUAUGAUUUCUUACUAUCUCAGUGCUCCAGACUUCCCAUCUGAUGGUCAUGACAAGAAAAGACCUCGGGCUCAGCAGAGACAAACUUCUCUUACUGAUCUUAAAGAAACUGAGCACACUCUCAUGCUGAUGUGCGUGCUAGCAAAACAUUGGAAUUCAUGGGUUAAGGCCAUGAAAGAAAUGGACUCCCAGCUGAGAGAGAAAAGUAUCCAUCUUUUGGCCUUUGUCAGCCGGGGAACUCAACGCCUUGGAGAAUCUUCGAGUCUUAGUGCUCCUCUUGUAUGCCCUCCUAUCCUUAAAGAGGAAUUCGAUGGCUGCAAGAAACCCUCAUUUGUUAACAGUAGAAGCGGAUGGUUUGCUCUUUCACCGCUCAGUUGUGUGUCAAAACCAAAAUUUUCAGCCGUCUCUACCACAACUGCGCUGGCUAUUAAAACUCAAUCAACUGAAAAUAGUGAUCACGUAUCUCAGUCAUACUUCUCCGACACUAUUGCCCUUCAGAUAUACAGAAUUACUUUUCUUCUUUUGAAGUUCCUCUGUUUACAAGCUGAGGGUGCUGCUAGAAGGGCAGAGGAGGUUGGGUUUGUUGAUCUUGACCAUUUUCCUGAGCUUCCAAUGCCCGAAAUCUUGCAUGGCUUACAAGUAAGAUGACAAUUUUUAUUAUUUAAUUAGUUUUUAUUUUGCUAAUCUUUUAAGAUCUUGAGAUGUCUCAAGGUGUGGCUUUGAUUUGUUUAAUUAUGCAAAAAAUAUCUGGUCUUCCAAAUACUUAAAAUUAAGUUUCGAGGCGACUUUCGUUUUGAGUUGGAUAUGUUAUUUCUGAUGUAGGAUCAAGCAAUUACCAUUGUUACAGAGCUGUGUGGGGAUAAAAGAUCAAAUGAGAUUCAAAUUGAAGUGCAGAGUAUCUGUUGCUUAUUGCUACAAAUAAUGGAGAUGGCCUUGCACUUGGAACUUUGUGUUCUACAAAUAUGCGGCAUAAGACCUGUGUUAGGGCGUGUGGAAGAUUUUUCAAAGGAAGUUAAACUGUUAAUAAAAGGUGAACUCCAUUCAUUCUGCAUACAUGUUUUGUCACCUUUUUUUUAAAUGGUAGUUCUUCAACAUUUAACGAAUGGUUUUUUCCUUAUAAUGUACUUUGUAGCGAUGGAGAGACAUGCUUUCCUCAAAUCAUCUGUGAAGUCCUUGAAACAAAUAACGUCGGUUAUCUAUCCCGGAUUGUUACAGGCCGAAGAGUUUUUGUGAGAUAAAUUCUUGUGCAUAUAGGUGAAAACUGAAAACUGUAGGCUUUGGAAGAAAAAUGUAAAAACUAGUGUGUAUUGCUUACAUCAAUGGCUUUAGAAAUAUUCCGCAGGCUUAUAAAAUUAUCCCAUUCCUUUCAGCCAUUCCUUUUGUAUAUAUUUUCUUUUGAGAAAAGGUUGUGGCUCUAUGAUUGAGAAGAUUUCUAAAAUCCGUGGCAAUUCAUGAUUGUCGCGUGAGAAUUCCCUUUCCUUCACUUUCCCAAGCAAAAGGUCCCUUAUAGGUAUUAGAUAUCUAUCAUUGCUUUUAUGCAUUAGUGGGACCUAUGAUUUCUUCAUAGUGAAAUGCAUGUAAUUUUCAGAUCCAAUUCGAAUUUAAUAAAUUACUUUAGUGUUUAGGGUAGUCGCUCUCGUGGGUGACUCUCGGUUGUUGAUGCAUGUGCAUUAGCGGGAUGUGAUCACCCGUAAGUUCGUAAGCAACUGUCCGUAGCAUUUCAUAAGUCUACUUUCUCUCCAUGUUGUUGCAUCCCUAUUCUCGACCCAAAGAAGAAAGAAAAAUUGAUGGCACCAACGAAAAGAAUUUUUCCGGUCCCUACAAAAAAUGGCAUAUGAUCACAAGUUCUGAGCUCCAAGCUCCAUAACCCAUAUACCCAUUGUUUUGCUUAUGAAUGAUGAUCUGUCAAUUGGAAGAUAAUCAGAAGGUGAAUCCCCACAACUUUACUAAAGUAAGUGUGCUUCCUCUUUUAGAGAAUAAUGAUCCUCCAGGACUAUAUGAUUUCACUGAUUUGUUGAUUUUUAUUUCAUAAUUAAGAAAAUUUUAUAUUAUUUUCCGCAUGGAAUAAAGAGCAAAUUAAAUUAAUUAAUCCAAUGGUUGUCAUUCGUCCUUCAAUCCACAUUUCCUAAGUUGGACCAAGUGAACGGGUCCAAUUCAUGGAUCGAUGGACCGGGCAUCCAUCCAUGAUCCAUGGAUACAUAUAUAUUUAUUAAUUUAUUUUUCCUUCGGAAAAAUAAAUAAUAUAAAAAUUAGUCCUCAUGAUCCGUAAUUUAAGAUCUUUUUGGCUUUAUGUGUAUGUCGGCAUCUGAAUCCUUGCGAAAUCCAGACCGUUGGAUCUGCGUCAGAGGGUAAGUAAAAAUCAGUAAAAUUGUCAGUGUUUCACCUUUUAUUUAAUACCAUGUGUGCCAUCCAAGUGUUUACCAAAUCCACAACGUGGUCCAAACGGUGUCGUUUAUUUCCCCCAAAAAGUCCACGAACCCUAAUACCCUAUCCGAAUAAUGACAAGCAUAUACCAGUACACAACCACUUCACUCAGCCUCGGAUCCCAAAACCUAACCCUGGUUAAAACCCGACCCAACCACGGUUAACUCAUACCCCGUCAGAUUCAACCCACGUGCCUUCAUCCAACGGCUGAAAACAACUUGCCAUAGAUAUUCACCUCAGAGGCCCUUUUAUAAACCCCUUGUCCUCGUGACCUCGUCCACGCAUCGCAAACCCUAAGCAUCAUCACUCUCGUUUUCCUCAAAUCUCUUCGUGAACGAUCCAAACAAAACCUCGAAAUUCUCAUCAAUGGCUUCAAACCCUAAGGUCUUCUUCGACAUGACGAUCGGAGGCCAGCCUGCCGGCCGCAUCGUCAUGGAGCUCUUCGCCGACACCACCCCCCGCACCGCCGAGAACUUCAGGGCUCUCUGCACCGGAGAGAAGGGCGCUGGCCGCAGCGGCAAGCCCCUGCACUACAAGGGCUCCUCCUUCCACCGAGUGAUCCCAGGGUUCAUGUGCCAGGGAGGUGACUUCACCGCCGGAAACGGCACCGGAGGCGAGUCGAUCUACGGCGCCAAGUUCGCCGAUGAGAACUUCAUCAAGAAGCACACCGGACCUGGAAUUCUGUCCAUGGCCAACGCUGGUCCCGGGACCAACGGAUCUCAGUUCUUCGUCUGCACGGCCAAGACCGAGUGGCUCGACGGCAAGCACGUCGUGUUCGGUCAAGUGACCGAGGGGCUCGAUGUUGUGAAGAACAUCGAGAAGGUUGGGUCGAGCUCCGGCAGGACCUCCAGGCCAGUGGUGGUUGCUGACUGCGGCCAGCUCUCCUAGACGAGUCCGUUUACUCGGUGCUCUGACGAUGAUGGAAACGUCAUCGUUUAUCUCUCUGUUAUUAUGAGUCGGUCUGCCUUUACUUUUUCGAAUUUCGGUUUUUAGUAGGCUGGGGUCUGAUUAGGGUUUGGUUUAUGGACCUUAUUAUUAUCACUAUGGUCGUCUUCCUUUUUUUUUUGGAUGUCUAAUUGCUCUGCUGUUUCUGAUCUGAGACUCUUAUUUUGUGAUAAACUGAGCUGUUAUCCUUAAAUAAAAUAGGUUUUAUUCUCCAAUUGUUUAUCUUAUUUUCUUUAUUUUUCAUUUCAAUUUUUUAUUCUAUAAUUGCCUAAUGCCUCUAAGUAUUAUUGUGCUCGUGUUUCAUCUUAAGUGAUUAAAAGUAUAUUUAUUUAUUUAUUUCGUAUUCAAUUUAUUGUUGUGCCCGCAUUUGAUUUAAGUCAAGUGUGAUUAAGAGCGUUUAUCUUAUAUUAUUGAUUAAAAAUUAUAUAAAUAUCAAAUGUAAAAGAAAAGGUCAAUAAAUGGGAAUGGUCAAAGUUAUACCUAUUUAUCCGAAUAUUUCCUGCCAAGUCGUUUUGGGAUAUUUUGGGCCACUUGGGAUUUUAGGCCCCGUUGAUGCACCCUUGGGUUUGGACUGAUCGGCUUGUUGCUACUUUUUGUAAACGUGUAAUUUGUUGUUUGCUAUCUUUUUACGCUUGUGUUUUCAAGAGAGAGAAAAUUUGGAUUUGUAUAGUGAUGGAUAAAGCCUUUGUGAUUCUUGAGCCACCACCACUUGCCGCGUAUGUGGCAUUGUACAAGGGAAUUUUGUGUGCAUGCGUUUUCUGUUUUCUUUGCAUGAGGAUAUGCUCUUCUCAUUCCAAAAUUUUAUAUUUUUGUGGUUCUAGAAAGAAAAGAAUUUUGUUUAGUCAUCGUAUGUGUUUUGCGUUCCUAUAAAUCUUUGGUCACGUCGCCUCAUCAUCCAGUUUGUUUGAUGCCCGGCUAACCUCACAAAAGUUUUAUCUUUGGUUAUGUCAACUCAUAAAACAAAGAUAUUCCCGUUUCACAUAAGUUUUUCUCACACUCAACGUCCUCGUUGGAUUUGCUUAGUCGCUUUAGUGGGCCAAUGAAGUAGUGACUUAAAAAAGUAUUUAACUUUGGUUAGCGUAACAAACUCCCUUAACAUUAGAACCAUUUACUCACAUCACAGCCAAAUUAUCUAGACAAAGAGGCAAAAUCUUCCAACUAUCUCCAGGAUUCAUAAACAAAGCAUCUCCUACAUUAUAGGUUCGCUUAACGCAGUCCCCAAGGCCCAAUGGGAUGAUCUUCAUUCCACAACUUGAAAAGGUUUUUUCAUUCCAAUGGGGGAACUGUUCUUUCCUUGAUCGAAAGAAAAAGGUUCAGCAAACCUUAUUAAGAAAACACUGACUACAAAACUCAUCAGCCUUGGCAGGCUAAGAGAGAUGAAGAUAUUGGGUAUGAGGUAGUAGAAGAAUUUGUCACGUGAGGAGAGAGAUAUAGAUUAUUGUAUAAGAAGUUCCUUCCUCCAACGUUGUAUCGGCAAAACCUAUGUUUUAGGAUGCAUCUUAAUUAACCUUCCUCUAACAUUGUACAAUUAGGAAGCUUCCUUCUCCUUGGCUUUGCCCCCCUUAGCUUUCUGCCGAUGAUUUACACUUGAUUCAUUGUCUUAUUGUCCUUAAUGGAAUUCUUCAUAAGGUUAAAAUUGUCAAACAGUAAAGUACAUCUACAAAUUAUAUGGAUAGUUUCCAUUCAAUACCUGCAGAUUUUUUCUUUUUGUAAUAAAUGAAAUAGGGGAAAAAACCAAAUAAUUUUGGGAUGAUGCGCAUAUAUCUAAAUUUGUUAAUAUUUUUUUCUUCUCAGCUUUUCAUAAAAUCAAAUAUAUGAUUUGUGCUAUUUGUUUUACUAUUUUCAAGAAAAAAAAGAGGGAGACAGAAAAAAGAGACAUUUCUCUCUCUUUCUCCCACAUCCCAACCCCACCCGCCCCAAAACACAUCGCAUAGGACCCCACUCUCCCCACUUAUCUCUAUAUCUGUUUCUCUCUCACAACAAAUUUUCAAUAUACAAAUGGAAAAAUACCAAAAAGAAAAAAUAAUAAGAAAAAGGCAGAGUCGGAUUGGGUAGGCUGAUGAAAUUUGUGUGUGAAGGGUUGGUGUUCCAUGGUUGAGAAAGAAGGAGGAAGGGACUGCGAAGAGGGAAGGGGGAAUGGAUUUCAAGGUGGUUGGAGCCGGGCCACAUAUGGGAUGGGGGAAGGUGAGAAUUUUUUUUAAAUACAAUUUUUUUAUAUAAUCAUUUUUCCAUUUUUAAAAUACUCUUGAAAAUGGAAAGACUGAAAUACCCUUUAAAAUAGCUGAAAAAUUGAAUGGUGUUAAACCUAGAUGACAAAUAAUGGAUUUUGAAAAAUUAAAGUGAUAUUUUUCUUAAAUUUUUCUUUAAUGUGACAAAUUAAAAUUGAGGUAUAAAUUCAGGUGACAUUUCUAAAAAAUAAUACACCUCCAUCGAUAAUGUGAGAAUUACAAGAGCGCAUGAGUAACGCUUUUUAUAAAUGAUCAACUACCUAAUGCAAAUGUAAAAUAAAAUUCUUUAGAUUGAAAAUUGUGCCUUGUUUUAAAUGUUUUUCUUUAAAAUUUUGGUUUAGUAUAUAAACCAAAUUACUAUCCAUAGCAGAGUAUAUUUGCAAAUCCCAUAAUACUAAUUUCUUACAUUUGACGCAGAUAAGGUCAUCCAUCAUUCUUUUUUUUUUUUUGGGGUGAAAUUAGCUAAAAUAGUUAUUUUUCAUAAAUUCUAAUAUUCUAUACUAAAAUAGCCUAUUUUGCAUUAAAGAGGUUACUAUAUAAACAAUAAAGAAGAAACUAUACGGAUAACAAAAAGACACUAUAUAAAUCAAAGCUAUUAUAGAAUAAAAGUCAUGAAAAAUGACUAUUUUUUUUUUAGCACAAACGCCUUGAUUUUUCCAGACAUGACGUGGUGCCAAUUUUAUAUUUUAUAUUUUUUUAAACUUUCCCACUUCCAAUUUUCCUAAUGUCCAAACAGCAACAGAAAGAGUUACAGAGAAAAGUAAAAGUCCAAACUCCAGGGCAAUCUUGGCGCAUAAGCUGUCAUCCCGCUGAUUCACGUGACUCAACUUUAACAACAGAAAAAUCCAAUCUACCCUGUUGCCCACGUGGCACUCUCCAGAUGAGCUGAGGGUACUAUCGUCAUUUCAAGAAAAGUAGAAAACCAUAGCCAAUAGAAUCAGAUCCCGCACAUUGGUGUAGCGAGCGCGCGAAGCACUGGAUUGUUACCUCCGUCCGUACUGCCACGGGAAGCUUCCGACUAGACGACGGGCUCAAGCGUGUUUCUUCGUGUUGAGAGAGAGAAACGAGAUCUCUCUCUCUCUCUCUGAAAGCUUCAGAGGGUGUAUUGCAAUUUACAGAGAGGGAGAGAGGUACAACUUGUUCAACUCUGGUUGGCGGGAAUUCGAAAUUCUAGAGAGAGAGAUGGGGGUGUCAGAGAAUACGAAGGGGCUGAUACUAGCGAUGGCGUCGAGCGCCUUCAUAGGCGCGAGCUUCAUCUUGAAGAAGAAGGGUCUCAAGCGCGCUGGAGCUGCCGGUACUCGAGCAGGUCAUUUUUACUCUUACAUGAAUUCUGGGUUCUAUUCUUUUAGUUUAUUUUCAAUGUCAAUGCCAUUGGCACAUUAGCAUUUCCCUUUUUUGGAUGGUUGAGGUUGGAAAUUGGAGUAAAUUACAAAGAUUUAACCAAAAGAUUCAAUUUUUGAAAUUAAUUAUGUGUUUGAUGAUUGAUAGGUUCCAGAAUCCAAACUGCUAAUUCAUGGUUUUGAUUGUUUUUUGAUUAUUUAAUAAGUUGCCAUGUGAUUGAUUUGUUGUACAUCUUUGAUUUGGGUAAUUGAAAAUCUGUGUCUUUUGAGUUGUGCAGGAGUUGGUGGUUAUACUUACUUACUAGAGCCACUUUGGUGGGCGGGCAUGAUCACCAGUAAGUACAGCUCUCUCUUUCUCUACAGAAAAUGUAUGUGACUGAAACGAUAAGUACACGUGAGUUAUUGAUAUUUGGUUUUGAAUUUUUUCAACUGGGUAGUGAUUGGUGGAGAGGUUGCCAAUUUUGUGGCUUAUGUAUAUGCUCCAGCAGUUCUUGUAACCCCACUUGGUGCACUGAGUAUAAUAGUCAGGUAAAUGCUCUUCUGUCUGAGUUCAUUUCGUUGCUGAUUUCUGAUAAAAAGAAGGUAUUGUUUAAAAGCUUUUGUUACCAACUUGCAUGUUUGUUGGAUUUGUCUAGUGCUGUUUUGGCUCACUUCUUGUUGAAGGAACGAAUACAGAAAAUGGGUAUUGUGGGAUGUGUUACCUGCAUCGUGGGAUCAGUGGUAAUUGUGAUCCAUGCACCUCAAGAGCAUAUUCUAAAUUCUGUACAGGAAAUCUGGGUUCUGGCGACCCAACCAGGUUCAUGACUUUAAACCUCAUAUUUCUUCUUCUUCUUCUUCUUCUUCAAUGCUACUUGUCUUAGAACCUUCAUUGUGUUGUCCUGAAAAAUUACUUUUUUUUUUUUUUUUUCCCACAGCUUUUCUGGUUUACGUUGCUGCUACACUUUCCCUAGUGUUAACUUUGGUUUUGCAUUUUGAACCUCACUAUGGGCAAACAAAUAUACUAGUCUACUUGGGAAUCUGUUCCUUGAUGGGUUCACUUACGGUAACUAUGCUUUUCUAGUUUGCCAAGUACAAAUAGGCACUUUGUUCCUCUAUGUCUUAUGUGUUCAAAUUGUUAGGUGUUUAGCUGUGUACCUCUGCUGUGCUACUUCAGGUUGUAAGCAUAAAGGCCAUUGGAAUUGCAAUAAAGCUAACUCUUGAGGGAGUAAGUCAGAUAGCCUAUCCUCAGACUUGGUUUUUUCUGACUGUUGCAGUAAUCUGCGUAGUUACACAGUUGAAUUACCUCAACAAGGUCAGUAUUGCGCUAUUAAUUUUGGUCUCUUUCUCCGAGACUAUCAUCAUUGGCGUUUUAUGUGCUGACUAGCCGUUUUGUGCUAAAAAUCUGUGCCCCACCUGCACUGCCUAUUCAGCAUUUGGUUUCUCAGAUUCUGAUUUGCCCAUUUGUUACAUAUUGACUCCAAUGAGUUCCUAGCCUAUAAAGGAGGGGACAGUAAUGCAUUCUGCCUCUGUCAUAUAACUUGUAAAUAUAAUAACACUGGAUCAAAUCUCAAGCACACAGUAUUUCCAUUGUAAUAAGUUUGGAAAUUUCUCAAAAUCUGAAAAUUUAGUUAUUGAAAUUGGAAAGUAAGUUUAAGUUGGUCUACUUUAUUUAAAAAUUGAACUUUAAGUAUCACGUGCUGCUUAGACAGUAAUCUUGUUAGUACUUCAAUUCAGCCAUCUUUUAACUCAGACUUUCAUGGACUUCAAAUUAUAAUAAUUACCUGCUGAAUCUCACAUCAUUCAAGUUCAUGGCCGCUUUGUUUCAGGCUUUGGAUACAUUCAAUGCAGCAAUUGUUGCCCCAGUAUAUUAUGUGAUGUUCACAACUCUGACCAUUAUUGCUAGUGUAAUAAUGUUCAAGGUAGAUUGCUUGAUCUAUAUACUGUGGUUUUCUUCUGAUGCCUUUAUUGGUUGUUUUCAUGCAAUUACAAAGACUUGGGAUUCUGAAUUUCCCGUUGUUUUCUAUGUUCAAUGCAGGAUUGGUCUGGUCAGGAUGUAAGCAGCAUAGCCUCUGAAAUAUGUGGAUUCAUCACUGUUCUGUCAGGAACUAUCAUACUCCAUGCAACCAAAAAUGAGGAAACAUCUACACAAGGUAUACAUGGACUUUGCAUCCUUCUAUUAUCUGGGAUUUGGGGUUUUUAUUAUCUCCUUUAAAUUCAGAUCAACAUGACAAUUGAAAAUUCUUAUAAGAUGAUUGAGAAUAAAACAGAUGCAUGUUAAAUUUGAUCCCAAGAGACCUUCAUUUUCCUCUUGAUCAGGAUACUAAUUUACAAUGUUCCAUGCCUACUCAGUUGCAAUCCCAUCAUUAAGUAUUGGUUAGACUGAGGGGCAUAUUUACACUUAUGGUUGGCUGUAACAUUUACUAUCUUUGCUUAUGGCUGCUUACAGUAGUUUUUCUUUUCAUAGCAGGAACUGUAACAUGGUACAUUAGAGAUUCAAUGAAGGGCUCUGAAGAUGAACGUUUGCUCACCUUACACAAUUCAGAUUAUCCUGAACCGUAACCCUGCAACAAUCAUCUUGGAGAAUGAAAUCCCCAGCAAUGAAGCUGCACUGCAACAAUCAUUUUGAGUAGGGGUGAGUCUUUGGGUAUCUAGCACAUUGCUCAUUACACCUUCCAAAUACCCGUUUACUCCUAUUCAUUUAAAAGAAAUUGGCCUCCCCUCCCCUCCCCCAGUUGGACAUUUCCAUGGCCUAAGACCAGCCAUAGCUAGUCUUUUUUUUUAUAUAAAUUCUUUCUUCUUUUUGGAUAUGAAAUGAUUUGGGAUAUAAUGAAAAAGUAAAUGAAUUUUUUUAGGGACAGGUUGCAGCAAUGUGUUGGGUGCCAUUAGCCUCACUUUGAGUAGUGUUUGUAGUGUUGGGUGCUCCCGGUUUCUUCUAGACAGACCUUGGGGCUUUUAGCAGAUUGCAAAAGUUACUUUUUAUGUGCCUUUCUUCACCAGCCAGCAGAUGCGACCCUCAACCGGAUGCUCAAAUUAAAUUGAAGUGCGAGGUGUGGCACCACUCUCAAUGCUAAGUUCUGAAUCACCCUCAGCUCGGGAAUGGUGCUGCAGUUCUGUAUCAAUACCAGUGCAUAGAGAUAUUUGUUGUGAUUUUGGCAAUGCUGAGUCUCUCCAUGGCUGCUGAUGGCAUCUGUACAUAUCGAUGCUCGGCUUCUCAUUCACUAGUUUUCGUGCAUGAUUCUUCUUGAUAUCUGAUUCAGUUUGAUUCUCUCUUUUUCUUUCUAGUUUGUAUAUAUUUUUUCUUAUAGAUGUCUUUCUAGUUUGUAUUAGUCCUUUUUUCCUUGGUUAAGAAAAUCUACAGUUCAUAUUGGGAUUGAUAGAUCAUAGAACACACAGCUGAGAGGUAUAUUUGCCAAUUAAUGGGCAAAUACUGCUUGGGAAUUGUAUAUCUUGUAUUUAACUCUUGAGUUUUUGCUUUUGCUGUCAAUGAAUUCGGUUGGUAUAAUGGCAAAUAAACUGUACACUUUAUUACACAGUAAACCAUAAAUUAUAUGAUUCAUAGAAUCUUUCUUCAAUGAUCAAAAUUUAACCUUCUUUUUUUUGCCGGGAUGUUCCAAAUUUAACUCGAAUGUUGAGAUUGUGCAAUAUUUUACUAUUUAAGCAAUGAAAUCUUCCAAAUUGCUUAGCCAGAAAAGAAAUAAUAAAUAGUUUAAUUACAAGAUAAUUUCAAAAUUAAAAAACGUGAAAUUCCUUUUAUUGGGAAAAUAAGAUUCUAGUCAUGAGUUCAUAACGUAAUAUGAUCUGAUGAUGCUAUAAAAUAAAGCCGGUUUAAGAUUGAGAGAUUUAUUAAUAAUUUGGUUUGGAUGGAUGAUUACUGAAAGCUAACCUUUUUCUUCUUGUUUUUGUUUUUGUUUUUAUGGAUAUAAAGUCGUCUAAAAGUUGUUUUCGUAUCAUAAUUCUAAUUCAUUUCUUAAGUUCUCUUAUCACUAAACUAAUUCGAAGUUACAUCGAAAUUCCCAGCUUAAUUCUAACACAUUUUUUACUAUUCAAAAUUGCCUAGUCUAAUUCUAACUCAUUUCUUACUGCAAUUAUAACUCCUCUAUAACUGAUUUACUAUUGGUAAUUAGUAAGGUUUUAGAGUUCCUCAAAAUCAUUAUUGAAAAAAAAAAAACAAAGUCAGAUUCCCUCUCCAGAUCAAAAAAGAGAAGAGAGAGAUUCUCUCUCUGAUAAGGAAAAUCAUAAACUUCAAUCUCCACCGUCGGAUCAAAUUCUCUUCCCUACCCUAUAUAUUCGUAACCCCCUCUUCGCUUCUCAACAACGCAACGCUUCGCCAAAAAAUCCAUCCUUUGCGCAAAAACAAAAGGAGAGACCUUUUCAUCGCAGCACACAGUAACCACAACCAUGGCGGCAACAGUGUCUCCUUGGGCCAAACCUGGCGCUUGGGCCCUCGCCGCCGAAGAGCAGGACGCCGAGCUCGAACAAGAAACCCAAAACGCACGACACGUCGUUGAGCCGCCCUCCGCCGACUACCCAUCUUUGUCUGUAGCCGCCACCGCCAAGCCCAAGAAGAAGAACAAGGGCCAGAAAAUCUCCCUCGCCGAGUUCACGGCCUUCGGCGCGCCCAAGCCCGUGGCCCAGCCCGAGGGCCUCACCCAUCAGGACCGCAUGCAUCUCCCGACCGGUCCGCGCGAGCGAACCGCCGAGGAGCUCGACAGGAAUCGGCUCGGCGGCGGGUUCAGGUCCUAUGGGUCUGAUCGGGGAAACAGCAGGUUUUCCAACGGCGAAGAGUCGUCGGAUUCGAAGUGGGGUUCGGGACAGAGGAGGGAAGGUGGAUUUGGGAAGGAAUCGAACCGCGAUGGGCCUUCCAGGGCCGACGAGAUUGAUGAUUGGGGCGCUGCGAAGAAAUCGACUGUGGGAAAUGGGUUUGAGAGGAGGGAGAGAGGAGCAGGAGGUAGUUUCUUUGGUGGGUCACAGUCGAAGGCUGAUGAAUCGGACAGUUGGGUAUCCAAUAAGAGCUCUGUGUCGUCGGAGGGACGGAGAUUCGGUGCUUCCGGUGGUGGGUUCGAUCGGGAGAGGAAAGUGGGGUUCACAUCUGAUGGAGGUGCUGAUUCUGAUAAUUGGGGGAGGAAGAAGGAGGAGAGUAAUGGUGGGUCUGGUUUUGAUCGAGAAAGAAGAGUUGGGUUCGUGUCCAAUGGUGGUGGUGCUGAUUCUGAGGUUUGGGGGAAGAAGAAGGAGGAGAGUAAUGGUGGUCUGAGUGAGAGUACUGGAAGGCCGAGGCUCAAUUUGCAGCCGAGGACACUGCCUGUGAGCAACGAGACCUCACCUGGGUCGACGACAGUACCGAAGUCCAAGGGCUCAAACCCGUUUGGUGAGGCGAGGCCAAGAGAGGAGGUGUUGGCAGAGAAGGGGAAGGACUGGAAAAAGAUUGAUGAGGAGCUCGAGUCGGUGAAGAUUAAGGAGGUGGCUGAGAGAGACCACUCGCCCUCGUUUGGGAAGAGGAGUUUUGGGAUAGGAAAUGGGCGUGCCGGUGAUCGAACUGAGAGAGCUUGGAGGAAGCCUGAUGUGGCAGAUGCUCGUCCCCAGAGGUUUGUUGUUUCAGUCAUAUGAUUGAUUGAUUGGGUAUAUCAAUCGCUAGUAAUUAGAAUGCUUAGUUGUAAAGUCUGAUGCCUUUGAUAUUUCUACGUUGAACUUGAUUGCAUGGAUUUUCUUAGCUAUGUUAAUUGGAAAGAUGCAUUGUUGAUAGAAUUGGUUUCAGUUAGUUAUAGGAAAGUUUGCUUGAUGGAACAGUGAAUUAGCAUAUUGGUUGUAUGUAUGUGUGUGUGUGUCUUUCAGUUUUAACCUUUUCAUAAGGGGUUUGUCAACCUUGUGGGGGAGAUGCUGAGCAUUGAUGGUUUACAUUUGUGUCCAAAAGGAAGCUUCUUGAGGUUUCUGUAUUAAAAAGAAAUUCACUUUGCCGAGCAUUACUUGUUAUCUUAUUGAUAGGUCGAGUUUUACGAAAUACUUGGUGCUCUGAUGAAUUGCAAUUCACUUUUGAGGAUUCUUUAUGCCGUGUCUUUGUUUUGCCCUCUUAUCUUCUCAUGUGAAUACAUAGACAAGUUUAAAUUGGUGGCACUGCUAUCUCUUUAUUUUUGCCCUUGGGUAAUAUAUUUCUAAUUUGUUUGAUAAAACACCCUCCUUUUUCAUUUUCAACCUUAACCUUGGGAUAUUCUGAAGGCUGCACGUUCAUCUUUAGAUGUUUUUGCAAUUUUCCCUUCUGCUGUUUGACACAUACUACUAACCCUAACCCUGGCUGCUGCACAAGGAAAAAAAGUUGUUUUAUGUAUGUAUGUGUUAAAUAUGAAUAUUGGACUAGAAGGAUCUACCUGACUUGAAUGGAGCCAUUUAAAGUUAAAGGUUCAUGUAACCAUGGAUUUCUCUUUUAGUUUUUAGGGGUUAGUAACUUGUAAUGUGUGUGAUUAGACGUGCUUUCAACUAUUUGUUGCUAUUUUCAGGGUUUGUUAAAACUCUGAAACUAAUAGUUUUCGUUCGGUGCAGUGCUGAGGAAAAUGAGAGUAGGAGCAGUUCUUUGGAACCAGAGAAUGUAUGUUGAUGAGCUUGUUGACAGUCAUGUUGACGGGCAUGCUGAUGAGCAUGCUGAUGAGAAUUGAAGAGGCGUUUUACAAGUUUGGUGUAAGCCAUGGGAAAAGAUUUUAAGUUGAGCUGUUGGAUCCAUGAGGCUGUUGAAUUUUCAGUUUCAAUGAUUUGUGUUCUCGUCUGCGACUGUAAUACAUUGAACUUGAGACAAUUUUUGUAGGAUUUUAAAUAGCUAUACUAGUUUUGCCCGUAAGGCUUUGUUUGUAUGUUGUAUUUAAGAUUGAGAAAUACUUUAACUCUAAUUAUUAUUUUUGAUCCUUAAAUUCUGGUUCACACAUUUCAUGGUUGAAGAUUUUGGUGUGUUGUGCGUUUGAUGCUUCAUGGUUUUGCCUAUGUUCUCUGGAUAAUUUAUUUUGAUGCUUCAUGGUUUGCCUAUGUUCUUAGGGUAAGGGUCAGAAUUGGCUGAACUGGAAUUAAAGUUGCCUGUAGUUUCAAGUUACUGAUUUAUAGAAUGAAUCAUAUUUGUAAGCAAGUAGACUUUUGAUUGAAUCAUUUUUAGCAUGCAUUAUUCUGCUGUAGGUUCAAAAUUUCGUUGUGAGUAAUUGAUGUUGUAAUUGUUUUGGUAAAAAAAAGAGACGAGAAAACAUAUUGCGAAGGCUUAGUUUUCGGUUUUAUGAGCAAAGAAACUAUACAGAAGUUACAAUUCUGAUGACUCGGGAGAUUCUUGAAUGUCUUCAGUCGUAUAAUAGUAAUAGGGUAGAUUUUCUCCCACAAAAUAACGAAAAUGGCACACAGUUGACUGAUUAGAUGUCACCAGUUGUACAGAUUUUAUCCACAGGACGGCAAGGGCAUUGGCUGUGAGCCAACCAAAACUAGGGUUGUUAGGGCGUGCUUCUGUAACUGCUACAGAGCCACUGUCAUAAUUGCUUCUAGUGCCAAGCACUGCUACAGUUGCUCUGCUAUGCUACAACAACAAUGCAGGUCCAUGUUACACUGGUACGGAGUUUGGUUCAUCAUCAUGGGCCAAUAUUUUAAGUCCACUCUCUUAAUCCGAGUUUGAAUCUUCCUCUCUUAAUUAGUUUAAAUUAGAAUACCAACUUGUUAAAAAGAGAAAAAACUAGACUCAAGGCUGGCCCUAGGCCAUGUUCAAAGAGUUACACUACAGAAAACAAAAGUUCACCUUCUGCGUGUGCCUAGCCUAGCAAUAUGUCAUUAGACAAAUACAUCAAUUUUUGAGUAAGUAUGGGCACGAGAAAGAGGUUUGCAGACUUGUGUGAGGUGUAGUUGAAGAGCAUUAAAGAGAAGCCAUUACUUACUUCUCUGUCAUUGCACAUUAUGAAGCUCUAUCUCCUUAUAGGCCUUCCUCAUCAAUGCCUUUGCUACUUUGACGGCCAACAAAUACCCCCCCACCAGCAAAACCUUGGAGCCUUGAAGUCAUGUUUUUGGCUACAAACCGACCCACGUCUGCAAUAAUGGCAACAUAUGGGCUUCUUGCCUUCAAAAUCUUGGGAUAGGCACUACUCAUGUCCACAGUCUCUGUUUGCGUGGCAAAAUUAUUCUAAACUAAAAACUCCUGCCCUGCAGCUGCAGUUAAAGCUACGGCCGUAGACGAAAUAACAUGUUACGGUGUGUAUACACUAUUGUCUUAUCUCUCUAAUCACAUGAUACGCCUUGCGUAUGCAUCAACUUCAAACAAUUAAUUGUUGGAUCAUGACUUGUGAUUUCAACAUUAGUUCUAAUGAAACCAAGAAUAUUAGUCUAUUAGCACCAGCCUUAAAUGCACCUCUGGUUUGAAAAUAGUGUUUCCCACACACCAUAAAGGCAGGCAGUUGAGAGUUGAAUGUAAGCAUUACUUUACCAUACUCUGUAUUAAUUUGCUUCCUCUGGGUGUUCAUCACAUUCUUAUUUUUACACCAAACCCUCUUCUUUAUUCUUUACUCUCUCUUUCUUUGCAUUUUCGUUUAGUCCAAUGCUCAUGGAUUGGCUAGAAAAGUUCAUUUUGGCAGCACUUCUCAUUUUGGCUGCAGCCAUUGAUGGAGCUCAGGCAGAUACCAUGGUCAGUGGCACAGUAUUCUGUGACCAAUGCAAAGAUGGUGAAAGAUCCCUCUUUGAUUAUCCCAUCAAUGGUGAGAUCCAUAAUCUCUAAUUAAUUAGUACUAAUCACAUUCUCCAUUAACACUCUUAAUUGUAAAUUCAUAUGCUUUUGUAUUUUGCAGGUGUUAAAGUACAAGUGGCUUGCAGUGACAGCAAUGGGCAAAUCACAAUGUCAAGGGAAGAAACAACAAAUUGGUUUGGAAACUAUGCUGUCAAGUUUGAUGGCACGCCAGAUUUGAGUGGCUGUUUUGCUCAGGUUUCAAGCACAGGGCAAGGCUCAAAUGGCUGUGGGGUUAGUGCUGGCCCUGCUCAAAGCCUUAGGCUUAUGUUUAGGAUGUUUAAUAUGGCGAUGUAUGCUGUGGACUCUUUGCUCACUCAGCCUGCUCAGCCUAUGUCAUUUUGCCCAAGGUCAGCUAAUCCGGUGGCUCCUGCACCGCCGACACCAGCUAGGCCUCUGCCUAACCCGGUAACGCCGGCCAGCCCUCCGCCUUUUUGGCUUCCGCCUCUUCCAAAAUUGCCACCAUUGCCUCCAUUGCCUCCAUUGCCUCCACUGCCCUCAUUGCCUCCAAUGCCACCAGUGCCCUUCUUGGAAGCUACAGCAUGCCCUCAUCAGUAAGUUAUUUACUGUGGUUUGCUUUGCAGUGUCUUAAGUUGUUGGUUACCUACUUUGAGUGUGGUGAGUAAAAAUUGUUUUCUCCAUAAAACUACCAUAGAGUCUAGUAUGAUCUAUUAUGGUGUACCCCAAACUGUUUUUCUACUUACCAACUAACUCUUGGUUUAGCAAUAUUUCAAUUUUCAGUGUUAAAAGAGGUUCCAAGUUUGAAUUCAACGAUUUUUCUUCUCUGACCAUUUGAUGGGGUUGUGUUUUUUCAGGCAGUGGACAUUGCCAGAGCACAAAUGCUACUGGAGGGCAGUGAGCCCGGACACAAAGGUAGCCGUUGUUUUCGGAUUGGCGGCGGCUAGGAGAUACGGGACUGACCUGACAUUAUUGCAAGGCCUACAAGGAAGAGGAGAACCUUACAGGACUCUCCUGAGGGAAGGGAUCACUGCAUUUCUCAACUCCUACAAUAGUCUUCAAUUCCCUUACAAUUCAAUUGCUGUGGUCCAGCAUUUGAAUUAUGGCUUGAUUGGCUCCAACAGAAACGUCCUCUUCACAGCCUUGCGCUUCAUCAGGGCCAAUUCAGGUUAUGGGAGAGUCCCUUGCAAAUUUACUGCUUGCAAAUGAUUUGUCUAUUUUAAAUCUAAAUUGUAUUAGACUGUGUUAAGUUUGGUUCUAUGUUUAGCUUAAACUAUGAUUAUGUAUUUUUGAUUCUAAAGAGAGAGGGAGGCCUACAGUCGAACUUUAGUUAUGAGUGCGUGGUUAUAAGUGCUCUACUACUAAAGCUAUAAGGUCUUCCAAGUUACGAUUAAACAAUUACAUUCUUGUAUUUCUUAUAUGAAUUUGUAGUUUAUCUAUAUUUUUCUUUUUUAUUUAACUAAUUAACAUAAUUUAUGAUUUAUAAGGUUUGUCCACCAUCAAUCAAAUCUUCAAUUGAUUAAGGUUUGUUCGUCAUCAUUUUCAAAUCUUCAAUUGAUUAAGGUUUGUUCGUCAUCAAUAUCAAAUCUUCAAUUGAUUAUCAUAUCUGCCGACAGAAACCAGAUUUCGUCUGGUAAGGUUAUAUAUGAAUGGUCACACAAAUCCCACAAGAGAAUUUAUGACGGUAAACUAUGUCAUCUCUAAAAUAGGGGAAAAUAAAUCAUGUCGUCCACUCAUAUUAUAACACGUGUAUAAGAUGUAUCACGUGACCAUAUUAUCUGGUAUUUUAUAAUUUCUCCAUCUUAUGAACUUCUGUUGAGAAUUGAUUGGGCUUCUGUCCAUUUCAAUCAAAUAAUAUUGAAUGGCAUUUCUACAUACUGAUCAAAACUAAGGUUGUUUAGUCAACACCAUGCGUAUAAAAAGAAAAACCCACGGUUCUCUUGCCAAGGCCACAAAAUUAAAGCAGAGCAAAAUGAAGCUCACGGUCAAGCAGGUACAAGUUCUUUGCUUUUGGGCUCUAAUUGUGCGCAUGCUUACAAUGCCCUUGCUUUUUCAUAACCACUUAGCAAAAUUCCUUAACACACAUACAUAUUUGAGAAGGAGACUGUCUGUUGUUCUCCAUUUUUUCUUGCUGGCACUCCUGGGGGCAUCAACCGUAGCGCGAUCUGUGUAGUCCGACCCAAUGGCACCCAAUAACACCUUGCACACCCCGUUUGGCACGGUUUGGGUUGUGGAUGACCCCAUUGACAGAGGGAUGUGACCUGAAAUCAAGGGUCAUUGGCAACUCUAGAGGUGUAUAUGUGUCCGCAGGUAAGCAUGAGCUAAUGCUUGUGGCUUACCUUGACUUUGGAUUUACUAGUGGCAAGUUCAAUGGCAGCUCCAUCUGUGCUUUUGAGGAACCCGGUAAGGGACGUUGAUCGGGAGUUCACUGUGGUUAGUGGCCGGGGGAAGUUUAGGAUGGCCAGAGGGUUUUGCAAGCUUAAGUGCAUUUUCUUCAAUGAGACUAAUGGUUCUAUUGUAGAGUACACUGUGGUAGUGAGGCAUUAUUGAGCUUGGUCUGUAUCUUAAUAUAAUAAAAAUAAAAAAACUCAUCAAACAUUUCCUAAGGUGCAGUGAAAUUAGAACUAAUUCAGAUUAUGGGACAAUCCCUUGCAAAUUUAUCGCUUGCAAGUGAUAUGUUUGUCUUCCAUGUGUUAUGCUUGCUUCUAUGUUUAGCUUAAACUAUAACUAUGUUUUAAUUUUUUUCAAAAUUCUAGAGACAUAUUGACUUGAUUGAGGCCGAGAUUCGAACUUUGGUAUAAGAUUAAGUACUCAGCUACUAAAAUUAUAAGCCCUUGCAAAUUAUGAUAUGUAAACACAUUUCCUGUAAUGUUCUUCGAAAUACUAGUUACUGGCUAAAAAAUUUAUCAAGCUAAUGACCAUCAUAUCUUACAUAUGGCCGAAUUAAACAUCAUCAAUAAGCUGUGCAGUUGGGCGUUUGAUGGAAAGAAAGCACAGUUGGGACUUUAUUCCAAGGAAAAUCAGUUGUGCUUCAAUUUAAGGAACUCUGUUUACACUCCAAUCUCGUCUUUGGACACCCAUUAAUGUUGUUUUAAAAAUAUAAUAACAAUUAUAACCCAUUAAUAAGAUUACUAUAAUGGGCUUUGUUACGUUUAUAUUAAAAUUUCAAUUUCUCGGGCACUCACAAAAUAUAAUUAAACCUCACCCUUCCACUCUCACUAAUACUAUACCUAUUAUUAGGCCUAAUCAUUUGGCCCGUGGGCUUGUGAGCCGAUGGGGGUCCGUCCGGCCCGGUCCGUUAUGGGCUUUGAGAUGGCCCGGCCCGCCUUAGGCCAUGCUAGGUUUGGGCUUGGCUCACAUACAUAUAUAAUUAUGUAUAAAUAAGAGUUUAGGAUUAUGAUUAUAUCACUUAAAUCACAUAUAUAAUUUGUUUCAUUUCAUUUACUUUUCUUUACUCAUUCCUAGUUUAUAAUUGGAUGAUUAGCACAUUAAUUUGUGUCAAUUAUUAAUACAAAAAUUAUAUAUAUAAAUAAGAUGAAUAACAUAUCAUAUCACCAAAUAUAAUCAUAUCACGAAACAUAAUCGUACCACAAAAUAUAAUCAUGUUUUUCUUGAACACAUCACCAAACAUUUACAUAUUUAUUUAUACCAUCCUUUAAAAAAAAAUAUCUUUUUGAUACUUAUUAUUUUUUAAAAUUAUUUCUUAAAACGUAUUAUGGUCUAAUUAUGUAAUAACCUCAAAAAUAAUACUUGGUUUUAUUAUUUUUGUGGAAAAUCUUAUUAAGUUGUGUGACUUUAUUGGGUAUUUUAUGAAUUUGGUUUGAUGUGAAAAUAUUGAAAUUAAGUGAGUUUAAUCUCAAAUUUAGACUAAAAUGCCCUUAUGAUUAAGUUUAUGAUUUUUUUCGAACGAAGUAGGCCUGUUUUAGCCCGGCCUGGCCUAAUGGGCUUUCUCAAGCCCGGCCUAUGGGUCGGGCUUGGGCUUUGAAUUGUCUAAAAAAACCCGACCCGGUUUUUUCUCUCUCCUCUUUAAAGCCUGGGCCGGCCUGGUCCAAGCUCGUUAAAUUUGGGUCGGACUAACCCGGCCCGGCCCAUUGACGAGCCCUAUGUAUUAUUUCUCUAACUUCUUAACCACAACCCAUAAAUCACUAAUUCUUAUGUGAAAUAAAUGUAACUAAAUUAUGUGGAAAGAGGUGGACCAAAAAAAAAAUUAUGUGGAAAGACUACAAUGUACAAACAACUUGUCGUCUAUGAUAACUCUAAUAAGGAAAAAGUAUGAUUUGGUGUGUCUUGGGACACUUUUUUUUCUUCCGGUUUUGACAUUGAAAAAUUUUGAGCUGCGACACAUGCAGUGACCAGAAACCACACAACUCAUAAAUCUGUAGUUAGGAAACCAUACAUCAUCAAGAUGUAUGGCCAACACCAACCACAAUUUUUUAUUUUGGAGAUACAUCAACCACAUAUUUAUGAGUAAGUAAUAAUAAUCUUGGAAAUAUCAAAUUUUUUAAAUCUCAACUGAUGUAACAAUGUUUCAUUUAUUUAUAUUUCAACUCAUCGCGAAUAUCAUUUAUUUAGAUUGCCAUAUUAUGUGUCACCCUAAAAAAAACUGAUCUUGUAGCAUAUUAGUUUAUAUUAGAAAGUUGCAAUAGUAGAACUUGGUUUAACAAGGUGGCCUUUGAGUGAGGUCAGAUCAAAUAGAAGAACAAAAAUUUCAUUGAAUGGAACUUUACUUUUGGACCUUAGGGUUAGGUUACAUCCUAGGUGUAUUCGUAUGACCACUAGAAACAAUCACGAGAUUCUUGUUUUAAAAUAAGGUGGUCCAAUCUUAAGUUGUCAUAAACAUUGCCUUGUUCUAGAAAUAGUUGGUCCAAUCUUUGUGAUCAUAUUAUUAGUAUUUACAAUCAAUAUAUGUAGUAACUUGUCAUACAAACUUCUAUUCUUUAAAACAAGACUUGCGCGACAAGGUACUUGGCUUUUAGUCAUGACUCGUUAAAUAUUUAGACCAAUUGUCCAUGCUGUUUUUUUGAUCAAAAAUUGUCCAUGAUAAUGUUGAGGCAAGUAGACGUGGGUUUUGUUUCUAUUGUUUUCUAUGCUUCUGGAUAUAGUUCUUUGGUAGCGUGCGAUUAAAGCGUUUCUCAGUGAAUAACUUUUUUGGGCAAAACAUUAGCUUUGAAAAACUCUUCUUCUGAGCAUUCAAUCAAUCAAUGAGUGUAAGUAUACAAGAUCAUCAUGUGCAAGUAAGGAUUUCAGAGGUCACGAUACUUGAGCAAUUCCAAAUACGAACAUACUGUUCUCAUAAGCAAGAAAGAUAUAAUAACCGUGCUAUUUCAAAUAUUGACAUUUCUACAAAGGCAUAGAUGACCCCAACCCACGCCCACCGUGUGCCAUCAUAAGCAUAUCUCCUAAUACAACUAUAUGGAUUACCUAGCAAGUCCAGUGCAACUUUGUGAAACGCAUAUAAGUUCGUUACUCACAUGCCUUAAAAUCAAUUAUGUGGCGUAGUCCAUGAAACAAUUCUCACAAUGAAAUUGUGUGGUUUCUCCAAUGCAGUGUAGUAAAUCACAUAAAAUUGAUUAUUUUCAUGGACCACCUGUGGGAUCAGCUGAGAAACUGAAAGUGCUUGGGUCUAGGAGGUCAGCUCAAGCGCAUUGGAGUCCGGAAGGUUCGCUCAAGCGCAAGCACACUUGAAGAAAAGAAAAAAAAAAAGAAAAAAAAGAAAAAAAAAGGGGUCAUGGACCACCUAGGAUUAGCUAAGAAACCAAAGGCGCUGGAGUCCAGGAGGUCAGGUCAAGCGCAUUGGGGUCCGGAAGGUCCGCUCAAGCGCAAGCACACCCAAAAAAAAAAAAAAUCAUGGACCACCUGGGAUCAGCUAAGAAACCGAAGGCACUAGGGUCCAGGAGGUCAGCUCAAAUGCAUUGGGGUCCAAAAGGUCCCCUCAAGCGCAAGCACACACCGAAAAAUAAAAUAAAAAAGUCAUGGACCACUUGGGAUCAGCUGAGAAACCGAAGGCGCUGGGGUCAGGUUAGCUCAAGCGCAUUAAAGAUCCGCUUAAGCGCAAGCACACCCAAAAGAAAAAAAAAAUGUCAUGGACCAUCUGGAACGUGGGUUGGGUGGGUGGGGUCCGACUGUAAGUGCAUAAAGGUGGAGAUGGCUGGGUUAGGUGCGGCUACAGAUGGCUGGGGUUGGGUGGGCGUGGGGAAAAUUGGUGGGUUGUGGGCUGCUGGGUUGGGGAGGACGGUGGGGAGUCUAAGGAAGAUGGGGUAGCAGAGAGACAAAUGAAAAUCAAAGUAGAAUGAGAAUAAAGAAGGCUGGUUUUCAAUUUCUAAAAAUAUGGUUAUGGAGAAAACAAAGGGUGGAGAAGGAUUUUUAAUAGCAUACUAGCCUCUCUGCACGCGCUUCCGCGCUUGCGAGAGGUUUUUUUAAAAAAAUAAGUAAAUUUCUUUUAGAAUUAAAAAAGAUAAUGGUAGUUGUGUUCCAUAAAAAUAGGAUCUAUUAUCUGCUUUUUCUUUUUCUUUUAAUUUUUUUAAAUAUGAAAAAGUGUGAAUUUAUCAUAUUAUCCUCAUUUAAUUAAUAAUUUGAAUUCUUAAUGUUUGCAUUAACCAAGGGCAUUUUCUGGUAUUUUGAAUGUUUCACCAUUCUCUGCCUUUUGCUUUAUAUAUAUAGAUAUAUACUAGCCUCUCUGCACGCGCUUUUGCACAUGCGAGAGGUUUUUUUAAAAAAAAUUUAAAUUUAUUUUAGAAUUAAAAAAGAUAAUGGAUAGUUGUGUUCCAUAAAAAUAGGAUUCAUUAUCUGAAUUUUCUUUUAAUUUUAAUUUUUUUAAUAUGAAAAAUUAUGAAUUUACCAUAUUAUCCUCAUUUAAUUAAUAAUUUCAAUUCUUAAUGUUUGCAUUAACCAAGGGUAUUUUCUGGUAUUUUGAAUGUUUCACCAUUCUCUGCCUUUUGCUUUAUAUAUAUAGAUAAACCUUAAACGGCACAAAAAUACUUUUCGUGCCCUAUGAAAAGCACAAUUAAUCGUGCUUUCAAAUUGUAAUAAUAAUUUCAUAGCCUCACUUAUUACUCACAGUGAAGUGACAUAGUAAAAGGUAGUAUUGACAUGGAUAUUAGGCACAAAUCUCGUGUCCAAAUUUCAAUGGGCACAAAUAGAUUCUUUUUGUACUCGUCUUAGACACAAACCUACAGUGUUUUAUGUGUAAUGAAGUUGAAAAAGACACGAUCCUUCUUUUGUGCUCUAUAAAAUGCGUCUUUAGAGCAGUUUUGUAGUAGUAAAAUAAACUGUACAUGCCUAAUUAUGUAGCAUGCGAUCAUGUUGUUAUACUAGAAUUGCUUAAAACUUUCAUGUGAACACGAAAUGACAAGAAUCGUAAGAUAAAGUUGCUCCAACCAAUAAUCAAAUACUCGAAACAAAGAAAAAUUGCAGUCUACUAACAAAGAGAAAUAUGGGGGUCAUAUUAAAAGAAUAAACGAUAGUAGGACUCAACAUAUAAAAAGAUUUUAAAAUAACUCAUCAAAAGAGCUUCGAGUGUGAAUUGCAUUGCUCUCGAUCCACCAUGUACACACGUUGGUACGUUGGUAGUUGGUUUCUGGUAAUCUGAACAGACAUAUAUACCCUUGAUUUGGGACCAGACCAGCUGUAAUCAACUUUGAAGGAAAAUGUGUGCCUCAUACAAGUACGGAAAAAGAUAAAAAAGAAAGAGAAUAUAAUUUCAAUCCCACUUCGGGGCUGCAAGGGUUUUCAUUCACACAACCUGAAAUAUGGGAAGGUUCUGUUUACAUAUAUAUAUUCUCUCUAUUUCUAAAGCAAGCAUGAAAGAAUGAUCAAAUCAACUAUCCAAGUGUGUCAGCUGGCAGAUUGCAAUUGGUGCUAGCUGGUUCUUCUUGUGGUCACAGACUCACCAUACAACACUAAUUUUAUCUUAUCUUAUCUUUUGGUGGGAAACAUGAGCCUUGAAUUGUCCCCUCAAUCAAAUUCAAAUCAAACUCAAGUGCUUGAGUGAGUGUUCAUGGUGGGGGGCAAUGUAGAUUAAGUUAUGGGACCAGAGAAACUUUUGGGAUCCUAUAUUUCUAAGUUUGAAGUUGUAAAUUAAGUUAUAGUGAUCAUGCUCCAAUGGCACAACCAAGCCUCUCUCACUUCUCAUCCUUCCUUUUGAUUCUUCUUCUCUUUGCAUUGUCACUUGGGCAACAAACAGCUGCAGGACAUGGACUCUCAAUCAAGGAAGCCACCAUAGACGAUCUCCAACUAGCUUUCAAGCACAACAAGCUCACCUCAAGGCAACUUGUCCAGUUUUACCUUGGGGAAAUCAGCAAGCUCAACCCUUUCCUCAAGGGGGUCAUAGAAGUGAACCCGGAUGCGCUUUACCUUGCCGAAAAGGCUGACUACAAGCGCAAGACUAAGGCACCAUCUGUGUCACUCUCUAAGUUACAUGGCAUUCCCAUUCUGGUCAAGGACAACAUUGCAACCAAGGACAAGUUGAACACCACAGCUGGCUCUUAUGCUCUGCUUGGCUCUGUUGUGCCCCGGGACGCCGGCGUGGUGACCAAGUUGAGGAAGGCUGGGGCUGUCAUACUGGGAAAGGCCAGCUUGAGUGAGUGGUCCUAUUGGAGGUCCAAUGAUGCACCUUCUGGUUGGAGUGGCAGAGGUGGCCAAGGGGUGGUGAGUUGAGGAUCAUUAAUUGCCUUAUGUUAUGCUGUGAAACUGUCAAUUUAAAACAUACAUUCAACUAAAAGUUCACAUAACUAAUGUUCGAGAUUGACUGUCAGUCUGAUAAUAUAAGAGAACAGACAUUCUGAGAUUUAACCCACUGAGAUAUAGUUCGGUUGAGUGCAGAACCCUUACAAUUUUAGCACGACGCCAAGCGGCUCAAGUAGCGGGCCGGCAAUAUCAGCGGCAGCAAAUCUGGCAACAGUGACACUGGGGAGUGAAACAGACGGGUCGAUUUUAAGUCCAUCCAGUUGGAACUCAGUGGUGGGCAUCAAACCAACAAUUGGCCUUACAAGUCGAGCAGGGGUUGUUCCAAUCUCUCCAAGACAGGACACAGUCGGGUAAGUGGUGAUCAAUCAAUGUAAAUUAUUUUCACAUUAAUUUAGAUGGCUGGCUUUUUCUGUCUCAUUGUUUGUUGGGGGGUGUUGGAUUGAACAGGCCAAUUACUAGGACAGUAUCAGAUGCCGCAUAUGUUCUUGAUGUCAUUGCAGGCAUUGACAGCAAUGACCUUGCAACAAGUGAGGCAUCGAGGUACAUUCCCAAGGGCGGCUAUGCACAAUUUCUCAGACCUGAUGGACUUAGAGGUAAGAGAAUAGGGAUAGUGAGAGCCUUGUUCAACUUUGGCAGUGACGCUUCGUUGACUCAAACUUUCGAACAGCAUUUCAACACUCUGAGGUAACCAAAAAAAUGUAUUAGUCUCUCCAAUUCGAGACAUAAUACGUUCUGUUUUGAUGACAUAAUAAGUUGUUGGAAUUUGGAAAUUUAAUGUAGGAAAAGAGGUGCUGUUUUGGUAGACAAUUUGGAAAUAGCACAUUUUGAUGAAAUCUACUAUAAUUCAAGUAGUGAAGACAUUGCAUUGUCUGCUGAGUUCAAAAUUUACUUGAACACAUACCUCAAGAACUUGGUGGCUUCACCGGUUCGAUCCUUGGCAGACGUGAUAGUCUUCAACAAUAAAAACUCAAAACUGGUGAGUAAAUAGGAGCAAGGGUUUAUGUAACUUUCAAAUCAUAUGCUCAGAAUUUGUCCUAAGUAAUUGGUUGAGCUACCGGCAAUGCAGGAGAAAGUGAAGGAGUAUGGCCAAGGCCUACUCUUGAAAUCUGAAGCAACAAAUGGGAUUGGCAAUGCAGAGAAGGCAGCGCUGGUAAACUUGGCAAAGCUAUCCAAAAAUGGUUUCGAGAAGCUCGUGACGAAGAAGAGGCUAGACGCAGUGGUGGCUCCAUCUGCAACCGUGUCGACGUUGCUCGCCAUAGCAGGCUCCCCAGGAGUGGUUGUCCCAGCAGGAUAUACUAAAGAUGGGGUACCGUUUGGCAUCUCCUUUGGCGGGCUGAGGGGUUCGGAGCCAAAGCUAAUUGAGAUAGCAUACGGCUUUGAGCAAGCCACUAAGAUUAGGAAGCCUCCUUCACUUAAAAACUUCAAGAUUUAGAGCCCCAUUUUAUUGGUAUUGAAGCUAAUGGGCGUGCUAUUGUAGUCUUACCACAAUAUCAAUAGCAUUAAGAGUACAAGUGAUAGUCUAAACUAUAAGAGAGUUGAUGAAAGGUAUGAAAGAUUUUUUUUUUUUUUUUAAUGUUUACAAGUCAGGGUUUUUUUUUUUCACUGUGCUAGACCCGGUUGGCAACAAAAUAUGUAUGAUUUAAACAUUAUAAACAUGAUCCACAACCAUAGGAAACAUAAUAUAACUAAGUAAAUAAUAAGCCAAAGUGAAACUCCUAUCCCGUGAGAAUUAACCAAUUAAAUAUCAUCUAAUCAAAUUGCUCUCACCAUCAGGGGCGGAUGCACAGAGGGACAAUAGGGGUCAAGUGCCUUAUGGCAACUGAAAAGGUAGCUGUAGAGGUCUCAAACGACCCCAUGGCUGGCUGGUGUGCGACCUCGAAGGUGCACACUAGAUGUUUGAUGAAAGGUUUGAAAGACCUAGUGAUGCUGCUGUUGCGCGCAGCACAGCGAGGUAAUUUUUUUUUUUCAAAAUCACAUGGCCAAAACAACGUUGUUUUGGUCCAAGCGUAUUCAAAUUUUUUUUAAUGACCUGACUUCAAAACGACGUCGCUUUAAGCCAGCUUUUAUAAAAUUUAAAUUUAUAAAAAUAAAAAUAAAAGAACAGAACCCACCCUUUUUUUUCACAUUUACACCAGGUCUUAAAUAUGUUGAUCUUUAGAGCACUUCCAGCGCGCGUUUUCAACCCGGGCAAGAGGGGCCCAAAGGCCACAAUCCAACUCCACCGCGCCAAGUCCAGCCAGGGCAAGGUUUGGGUCUCACGAGCCUCGUAAGCCCACAAGCAAAUUCAGCUUGAGCUGCUACCUAGGCAAAAUGACACAAUGCUGACGUCAUAAUGAUGUCAUCAAUCAAGAAAGAUUUUGAAAAAAAAUACCAAAAUUUCAGAAUUAUAUAUAUAAAUAUCUAGUCAUAUUCUUUACUUCCUACAUCAAAAACUUCUUUCAAAUUCAUCUCCUCAUAUCUCAUGUGAAUAGUAAUUGCCCUUGUCAUGGCCCAUAGGGGUGGAAACAAAAUUGCAAGGGUUGCCAUUAUUCAUGUGAAUAGUGACAGCCCUUGCCUUGCCCUUGCCUUGCCCUUGCCCUUGCCUUGCCUUUGCCCAUAGGGGUGAAAGUGCUCUUAUAUCAAUUUCUUCAUAUAUUACAACUGUACUAGUACAAACACCCCUUUUACUUGCCCAGCUAGACUCACCCCCCCAAAUGAAUAUUUCUUCCUCCUCUCAUCAACAAUUGAUUAAGGGGUUAUUGAUAGUGUUUUGAUUAAUUGAUUAAUGCUUGUGUUUUGAUUAAUUGAUUAGGGCUUUGUGUUUUGAUUAGUUUAUUAGGGCUUUUUUUUAAUAUUUGAUUAGGGUCUUGUGCUCAGGUUUUUUUUACAUGUUUUGUGUUUUGAUUAGUUGAUUAGGAAUGAAAAUGCUAUUGUUUAAUUUUUCAAUGUUUAUUUUGUUUUGAAGAAAAAUUUCGAAAUCUUUACACUAUGACCCCAUAUUCUAAGAAUCCUAAAUCUGCCACUGCUCACUAUACCUAUUUUUUCUCUAACUUCUUAACCACAACCCAUAAAUCACUAAUUCUUAUGUGAAAUAAAUCUACUAAAUUAUGUUGAAAGAGUUUGACCAAAAAAAAAAAUUAUGUGGGAAGACUACAAUGUACAAACAACUUGUCGUCCAUGAUAACUCUAAUAAGGAAAAAGUAUGAUUUUGUGUGUCUUCGGAUACUUUUUUUUAUUCCAGUUUUGACAUUGAAAUUUUUUGAGUCGCGACACAUGCAAUGACCAGGAACGACACAACUCAUAAAUCUGCAAUUAGGAAACCACACAUCAUCAAAUUGUGUGGCCAACACCAACCACAUAUUUUAUUUUUAUUUUUGAGAUAUUGAGUAAUAAUAAUCCUAGAAGUAUCAAAAAAUUUCAAUAUCAACUAAUGUGGUAAUUCUUCAUUUAUUUAUAGUUCAAUUCACCGUGAACAUCAUUUAUUUAGAUUGACAUAUUAUGUGUCACCCUAAAAAAAAAAACUGAUCUUGCCCCACAUUAAUUGAUAUUAGAAAGUUGCAAUAGUAGAACUUGGUUUAACAAGGUGGCCUUUGAGUGAGGUUAGAUCAAAUAGAAGAACAAAAAUUUCAUUGAAUGGAACUUUACUUUUGGACCUUAGGGUUAGGUUACAUCCUAGGUGUAUUCGUAUGACCACUAGAAACAAUCACGAGAUUCUUGUUUUAAAAUAAGAUGGUCCAAUCUUAAGUUGUCAUAAACAUUGCCUUGUUCUAGAAAUAGUUGGUCCAAUCUUUGUGAUCAUAUUAUUAGUAUUUACAAUCAAUAUAUGUAGUAACUUGUCAUACAAACUUCUAUUCUUUAAAACAAGACUUGCGCGACAAGGUACUUGGCUUUUAGUCAUGACUCGUUAAAUAAUAUCAACUCAUAUUUAGAACCAAUUGUCCAUGAUGUUUUUUUGAUCAAAAAUUGUUCAUGAUAAUGUUGAAGCAAGUAGACGUGGGUUUUGUUUUCUAUUCUUGUUCCUUCUAUAGGAAAUAAACUGUACAUGCCUAAUUAUGCAGCAUGCGAUCAUGUUGUUAUACUAGAAUUGCUUAAAACUUCCAUGUGGAUAAUGACAAAAAAUCGUAGGAGAAAGUUGCCCCAAACAAUAAUCAAAUCCUACAUGAAUGUUAAAGCAACAAAGGGGUUAUUAAAAAUUUAUUAAGUGUCAAAUUGCCGUAUAGGUCAUCAAGAGAUGAUAUUGUGAUGAACUAUUACUUUUGGCCUUCUAUCUAUGCCACCAAAAAUUAUCCAAUUUGUGAACGGUUAUCUAUGAUAUAAGGCUUUAUAAUUCUUUUUUUUAGUUCCCAACAGAAUCAUGGACUGUAUAUGAAGUUUUAAGUAUUAUUGUCACAUACCCGACAUGGUAAUGAUUAUAAUAUUAUGUACACUAUUAUAGGUUAAUACUUUUUAUGGAGGAUUGAGAUACAAAGGCGGCAAAGGUUUUCAUUCACACACUUCUCUCUUCUCCUCGUACGCAUCAAAUAAGGUAGCUUCUUUUUUUUUUUUUUCAAAUUUACCCUUAUUAAUUAUUUAUUGUUAAUUAAAACACAUUAACCAGUUGGGAAUUUUCCUCUUCUCCCAACUCCCUAACCCAGCUCAAGAGAAGAAGACGUCAGAGCCUAAUUUGGAUCCCACCAUCGCAUUCAUUGAUACCAACCUCAUAUCAGAAAGCUCCAUGUUUUUUUUUUUUUUUUUGGGUUGCCUGCCCUAUUUCAUAUAUUCUCUCCGUUUCUGAAAUAAGAAAAAAAGAAUAAUAAAAUCAACUUUCCAAUUGUGUCAGCUGACAGAUUGCAAUUGGUGCUAGCUGGUUCUUCUUGUGGUCACAAACUAAUCAUGCAACACUGAUUUUCUAUUCUUUUAGGUGGGAAUAUUAGCUACCAACUAGUCUAGUCACCUUAAUCAAACUCAAUUGCUUCACGGAAGUGGCCAAUGGGACCAGAGAACUUCUCAUUCCAAACAACCAAAAACUCAUAAAAUGAUCAUGAAGUCAAUCAAAUUGCAAAUUAUUAAGAAGUGAAUUGAGGGGUACUUUUCGCUUUUGGGACCCUAUAUCCAUGGCACAAUUUCUAAGUUGAAGUUGUAAAUCAAGUUCUAGUGUUCACUCCUCCAAUGGCACAAGCAAGCCCCUCUCACUUCUCAUCCUUCCUUCUGAUUCUUCUUCUCUUUGCACUGUCACUUGGGCAACAAACAACUGCAGGACAUGGACCCUCAAUCAAGGAAGCCACCAUAGACGAUCUCCAACUAGCUUUCAAGCACAAGCAGCUCACCUCAAGGCAACUAGUCCAGUUUUACCUUGGGGAAAUCAGCAGGCUCAACCCUUUCCUCAAAGGGGUCAUAGAAGUGAACCCGGAUGCGCUUUAUCUUGCGGACAAGGCUGACUACGAGCGCAAGACUAAAGCACCAUCUGUGUCACUCUCUAAGUUACAUGGCAUUCCCAUUCUGGUCAAGGACAGCAUUGCAACCGAGGACAAGUUGAACACCACAGCUGGCUCUUAUGCUCUGCUUGGCUCUGUUGUGCCCCGGGACGCCGGUGUGGUGACCAAAUUGAGGAAGGCUGGGGCAAUCAUACUGGGAAAGGCCAGCUUGAGUGAGUGGGUCUAUGGGAGGUCCAAUGAGACACCUCCUGGUUGGAGUGGCAGAGGUGGCCAAGGGGUGGUGAGUUGAGGAUCAUUAAUUGCCUCCUGUAUACCUUGUUUGAUUAAUUUAAACGGUUAAGUUCUCUUGAUAGAAACUUGGUAUGUUAUGUUGUGAAACUUUCAAUUUGAAACAUACAUUCAACUAAAAGUUCACAUAACUAAUGUUUGAGAUUGACUGACAGUUUGAUAAUAUAAGGUAACAGACAUUCUGAGAUUUAACCCACUGAGAUAACAGACAGUCUGAUAAUGUUCGGUUCAGUGCAGAACCCUUACAAUUUCAACGCGACGCCAAGCGGCUCAAGUAGCGGGUCGGCAAUAUCAGCGGCAGCAAAUCUGGCAGCAGUGACACUGGGGACUGAAACAGACGGUUCAAUUUUAAGUCCAUCCAGUUGGAACUCAGUGGUGGGCAUCAAACCAACAAUUGGCCUUACAAGUCGAGCAGGGGUUGUACCAAUCUCUCCAAGACAGGACACGGUCGGGUAAGUGGUGAUCAAUCAAUGUAAAUUAUUUUUACAUUAAUUUAGAUGGCUACCUUUUUCAGUCUCAUUGUUUGUUGGGGGGUGUUGGAUUGAACAGGCCAAUUGCUAGGACAGUAUCAGAUGCCGCAUAUGUUCUUGAUGUCAUUGCAGGCAUUGACAGCAAUGACCCUGCAACAAUUGAGGCAUCGAGGUACAUUCCCAAGGGCGGCUAUGCACAAUUUCUCAGACCUGAUGGACUUAGAGGUAAGAGAAUAGGGAUAGUGAGAGCCUUGUUCAACUUCGGCGGUGACGCUUCGUUGACUCGAACUUUUGAACAGCAUUUCAACACUUUGAGGUAACAAAACCAUGUAUUAGUCUCUCCAAUUCGAGACAUACGUUCUGUUUUGAUGACAUAAUAAGUUGUUGGAAUUUGGAAAUUUAAUGUAGGAAAAGAGGUGCUGUUUUGGUAGACAAUUUGGAAAUAGCACAUUUUGAUGAAAUCUACUAUAAUUCAAGUAGUGAAACCAUUGCAUUGGCUGCUGAGUUCAAAAUUUACUUGAACACAUACCUCAAGAACUUGGUGGCUUCGCCAGUUCGAUCCUUGGCAGACGUGAUAGCCUUCAACAAUAAAAACUCAAAACUGGUGAGUAAAUAGGAGCAAAGGUUUAUGUUACUUCCAAAUUAUGCUCAGAAUUUGUCCUAAGUAAUUGGUUGAGCUACCGGCAAUGC